UUAAGUUCAGCGGGUAUUCCUACCUGAUCCGAGGUCAACCACGAAAAUAGGGGGUUUUCCGGCAGGCCACCGCCCGAACGCCCAUAGCGAGAUGUGCUACUACGCUCGGUGCCGGGACGGGACCGCCGCUGUCUUUCGGGGGCUGCGGGAUGCAGGGCCCCAACGCCAGGCGGAGCCUGAGGGUUGAAAUGACGCUCGAA
This 200-nucleotide unclassified non-coding RNA is filed under the name Chaetosphaeria sp. RNAcentral's name for it is "partial internal transcribed spacer 2". Lineage: Eukaryota; Fungi; Ascomycota; Sordariomycetes; Chaetosphaeriales; Chaetosphaeriaceae. The record is from RNAcentral.